AACGCAUAUUGCGCCCUCUGGUAUUCCGGGGGGCAUGCCUGUUCGAGCGUCAUUGAACUCCCUUCAAGCUUUGCUUGGUGUUGGGCGACACGUCCCGCUGCGACGCGCCCGAAAUGAACUUUUGGCUGCGGGGUCGGACUCCGAGCGCUGCGAGGCGUCUACAGCGUCAUGCGUCUGGGAGGUUCGACCCGGCCGGGCCAGCAAACAACGAAACGGGCCUUCGGGCCCCUUCCACGUUGACCUCGGAUCAGGUAGGGUUACCCGCUGAACUUAA
RNAcentral lists this unclassified non-coding RNA (274 nucleotides) under uncultured fungus. RNAcentral's name for it is "sequence contains ITS2". The stretch from base 1 to 52 matches the Rfam family "5.8S ribosomal RNA", at positions 103 to 154 of the family's 154-position model. The record is from RNAcentral. Lineage: Eukaryota; Fungi.